This is a long non-coding RNA of Sus scrofa (pig), 2073 nucleotides long. RefSeq lists it as uncharacterized. NCBI's taxonomy places the organism in Eukaryota, Metazoa, Chordata, Mammalia, Artiodactyla, Suidae. The record is from RefSeq and is a predicted model, not a curated record.
AAAGCAAAAAAAAAAAAGGAAGCAUAUGUGGAAGGAGGAGGUAAGUGACAGUGGAAGCUGGCGGAUCAGAGGGAGAGGGACCACGUGAUACCGGGAGCAGGUUACAAUUUGCCACAAGUGUGGGGAAAAGCACAUUUGAAUCUCUGCCUUAAAGUGUCCUCAAGCAUCAGUGCCAGGUGGAUUAAGGACUGUUAGGUCAACUAAAGCACAUCUUAAAUACUGUUUGAAGAAACUAUAGGUUAAUAACCUUCUGACUUCAGUGUGGGAAAAGAAUUAUUAAAGGAAACAUCAGAAAAGUGUUAACUAUGAUGACAAGAUGGAUACAUCUGACCACAUUAAACAUAAUUUCUGUUCCGCCAGAGAUACUUUGAAGGAAGUGAAAAAAACUGUAUCGGGGAAAGAUGUAGGCAGGGAGUUGGUGUGAAGACCCCCAGGAUCAGGAAGAAAAGAUAAACAACUUAAGAGCAAAGCCAUGAGCUGGGAUUUCACAAAAGAUGAAACAGAUGUGGCCGGAAAAACACAAUGGGAUCUUAAACUUACAGGUGAUCAGGGACACGGACAUAGAGACCACAAUGAGACGUUAUUUUCUACCCAUUUGCUUGGUAAAAAAGUGCAACGUGUGAUACUACUAAGUGCUGGCCAGGAUGUGGAGCAGCAGGCGCCCUUGAAGCUCCUCAUAGGAGUGUAAAUUGGUUCCAGCACCACGGAAGAACCAUCCAGCAUUUCUCUAAAGAUAACACUGGCACACCUGUGUCUCAGCCAAUCCAUUCCCAGGAUUCAGAGAGGAAGCCCUGCAGGUAUUCCUAGAAACGCAUCUGAGCAUGUUCAUGACAGCACGGCUGCGACCGCAGAAACACUGCAACAUGAUGAAUCCAAGAAGCCCAGUGCUGAGUGACAAAAUAUCAAAUCCCAGAGACUACACAUUAUUUGAUGCCCUUUUUAUAGUUUUAAACCAAGCAAACGCAAAUAAUAUCUAAGCAUGUAUACUACGCUAAGCUAUAUAGUCAGAGCAAGUGAGUGACAGCCACAAAAUUCAAGACAUCUCUGGGGAGGGUGAGAGGAGGGGGAAUGGGAAGGGAGGCUCUAGAAUCCAGAAUUUAGAUUUUACUGGAAGGCAAAGGGGAGCUGGUUUCUGAGAAGAGUGAUGUGAUUCCAUCCCGGUUUUGAAAAACAAUUAAAGUAAGUGUGGGGUCAAGGAAUUCUUGACACCUGUGAGUUUUCAGGCUUUUCUUCCCCUUGGCCCCAUUUUCUCCUUAAUAAUGGUGGCGGGAACUAUGUGUCCAGGGCUCUCCAGCAGCUCAUUUAAUUUUCACAGCAACUCUGUGACGUAAGUUUGAUUAGUAUCGUACUUGUCAUACCCAUGAGGAAAUGGAAGCACAGAAAGGUUUAGUGACUUGCCCAAGGCCACACAGCUACUCGGUGCUGGAGCUGAGAUUCAAAUAGGCUUCUGCUUCCUCAUCAGAACCGUAAGGAGUCGGGAGCAACCCCACCAGACGCCUGCCCAGGUCAGAGGGGACACCCACGUUCCCACCAACUGUGAGGUCGGACACUUCCAGCAAGAAGUGCAUUUGAGGCUCUGACUUGGCUCUCCCACCUCUGUUAAAGAAGAACAUUGGCUCCCUGGUCCAGAGGAUGCUCUGCGGAGAAGCUGGCUGUCACAGGCUCCUCAGACCUUCCUUCCCAGCAACGGGAGCCUCUGGUCUCAGGCAGGUCCUGGAUUCACUUCCUCACCCAGGAGCCUGGCUGCAGGAACACACCGGCCCAGAGCCUGUGGGCUUGGCUGCUUCCUUAGGAGGGGCGUUAGGGGAAGGGUCUUCUCCAAUACUGUGGGAAAAGACUGGAAUUAGGGUGUGACAGCUGAUGGAUGGUGUUCUACCUCCCAGCCUGCAUGAAAACAGCUCUGGAGUUCCUCGGAGGUCCUGGAGGACCCACUGCCUACCACAGUGACCUUGAAAUGUAUUGGGGUGUCUGCCUGCCCUGUCUCACUCUCCCCACCCCUCACUCCUGCCUCCAGCAUCAUUUCCUAGAUACCCAAGCCCUUCUUCUCAGGCUCCCUUCUCCUCUUUUUCUUAU